Molecule: ribosomal RNA, 769 nt
Filed under: uncultured Lactobacillus sp.
Lineage: Bacteria; Bacillati; Bacillota; Bacilli; Lactobacillales; Lactobacillaceae
Description: bacterial SSU rRNA
Rfam family: Bacterial small subunit ribosomal RNA
Source: RNAcentral
CUGGUCUGUAACUGACGCUGAGCUCGAAAGUAUGGGUAGCAAACAGGAUUAGAUACCUGGUAGUCCAUACCGUAAACGAUGAAUGCUAAGUGUUGGAGGGUUUCCCCCUUCAGUGCUGCAGCUAACGCAUUAAGCAUUCCGCUGGGGAGUACGGCCGCAAGGCUGAAACUCAAAGGAAUUGACGGGGGCCCGCACAAGCGGUGGAGCAUGUGGUUUAAUUCGAAGCUACGCGAAGAACCUUACCAGGUCUUGACAUACUAUGCAAAUCUAAGAGAUUAGACGUUCCCUUCGGGGACAUGGAUACAGGUGGUGCAUGGUUGUCGUCAGCUCGUGUCGUGAGAUGUUGGGUUAAGUCCCGCAACGAGCGCAACCCUUAUUAUCAGUUGCCAGCAUUAAGUUGGGCACUCUGGUGAGACUGCCGGUGACAAACCGGAGGAAGGUGGGGAUGACGUCAAAUCAUCAUGCCCCUUAUGACCUGGGCUACACACGUGCUACAAUGGAUGGUACAACGAGUUGCGAACUCGCGAGAGUAAGCUAAUCUCUUAAAGCCAUUCUCAGUUCGGAUUGUAGGCUGCAACUCGCCUACAUGAAGUCGGAAUCGCUAGUAAUCGCGGGUCAGCAUGCCGCGGUGAAUACGUUCCCGGGCCUUGUACACACCGCCCGUCACACCAUGAGAGUUUGUAACACCCAAAGUCGGUGGGGUAACCUUUAGGAACCAGCCGCCUAAGGUGGGACAGAUGAUUAGGGUGAAGUCGUAACAAGGUAACCA